Molecule: ribosomal RNA, 253 nt
Filed under: uncultured bacterium
Lineage: Bacteria
Description: partial 16S ribosomal RNA
Rfam family: Bacterial small subunit ribosomal RNA
Source: RNAcentral
UACGUAGGAUCCGAGCGUUGUCCGGAUUUACUGGGUGUAAAGGGUGCGCAGGCGGACUGGUAAGUCAGAGGUGAAAUCUCGGCGCUCAACGCCGAAACUGCCUUUGAUACUAUCAGUCUUGAAUACGGUAGAGAUUCGUGGAAUUCCGAGUGUAGCAGUGAAAUGUGUAGAUAUUCGGAAGAACACCAGUGGCGAAGGCAGCGAAUUGGGCCGUUAUUGACGCUCAGGCACGAAAGCAUGGGGAUCAAACAGG